GAUGAACGCUAGCGGCAGGCCUAAUACAUGCAAGUCGGACGGGAUUCAGGAGCUUGCUUCUGAUGAGAGUGGCGCACGGGUGCGUAACACGUAUGUAACCUACCUUUAUCAGGGGGAUAGCCUCUCGAAAGAGAGAUUAAGCCCGCAUAAAAUCACAGCACAGCCUUGUGUACUGAUCAAAUAUUUAUAGGAUCAAGAUGGGCAUGCGGAACAUUAGCUAGAUGGCGGGGUAACGGCCCACCAUGGCGACGAUGUUUAGGGGAUCUGAGAGGAUGGCCCCCGACACUGGGACUGGGACACGGACCAGACGCGUACGGGAGGCAGCAGUAAGGAAUAUUGGGCAAUGGGCGGGAGCCUGAACCAGCCAUGCCGCGUGCAGGAAGACGGCCCUACGGGUUGUAAACUGCUGUUAUACGGGAAUAAACCCAGAUACGUGUAUCUGGCUGAAUGUACUGGAAGAAUAAGGAUCGGCUAACUCCGUG
This 482-nucleotide ribosomal RNA is filed under the name uncultured bacterium. RNAcentral describes it as "partial 16S ribosomal RNA". It matches the Rfam family "Bacterial small subunit ribosomal RNA", at positions 28 to 507 of the family's 1533-position model. The record is from RNAcentral.